GGGCAAGGUGCCAGCGGGUUUUGUAAGCACCUGAGAACAGCGAUGACAAGUAGUGCCUGAGUCACAGAGGCACAGGUGGCUUUGACAGUGGUCAGAAAGAACCCACACUCGCUGCUCGAGAUGGAGAAGAGCAAGACGGAUGGUCACCAGGCUGUGCUCAAUGAAGGAGAGGAGAAUGAGCUGGAGGUGUUUGGCUACCAGACUCAGAAUUUACGAAGAGCCUUGUGCCUCGUCACAGCCAUCCUGACUCUUGGGGCAGUUCAGCUCAUGUUCUACUGGAGGCCUGAGUGGUGG
This 294-nucleotide long non-coding RNA is filed under the name Rattus norvegicus (Norway rat). RNAcentral describes it as "long non-coding RNA NONRATT006669". The record is from RNAcentral. Lineage: Eukaryota; Metazoa; Chordata; Mammalia; Rodentia; Muridae.